This 500-nucleotide ribosomal RNA is filed under the name uncultured bacterium. Its description in RNAcentral is "partial 16S ribosomal RNA". It matches the Rfam family "Bacterial small subunit ribosomal RNA", at positions 28 to 507 of the family's 1533-position model. The record is from RNAcentral.
GACGAACGCUGGCGGCGUGCUUAACACAUGCAAGUCGAACGGGUCUGCCCUGUUUUUUGCGGGGUGGGUCAGUGGCGAACGGGUGAGUAACACGUGAGUAACCUGCCCCUCACUUCUGGAUAACCGCUUGAAAGGGUGGCUAAUACGGGGUGUUCUGGCUGUGCCGCAUGGUGUGGCUGGGAAAGAUUCACUUUUGUGGUGUUUUGGUGGGGGAUGGGCUGGUGGCCUAUCAGCUUGUGGGUGGGGUGAUGGCCUGCCAAGGCUUUGAGGGGUAGACGGCGUGAGAGGGUGGGCGGUCCCACAGGGACACAGAGACGGGGCAGACUCCUGCGCGGGGCAGCAGUGUGGGGUAUUGCACAAUGGGCGGGAGCCUGAUGCAGCGACGUGGCGUGAGGGAGGGAGGCCUUCUGUUUGUGAUCAUCUUUCGCCGGUGAAGAAGGUCCUGCUCUUUGUGGUGGGGUUGACGGUAGCCGGGUUAUGAAGCGCCGGCUAACUACGUG